RNAcentral lists this long non-coding RNA (6154 nucleotides) under Malus domestica (apple). Its description in RNAcentral is "long non-coding RNA (MDOM_LNC018464)". Lineage: Eukaryota; Viridiplantae; Streptophyta; Magnoliopsida; Rosales; Rosaceae. The record is from RNAcentral.
GGGAAAGAAAGAGAGGAAGGAAGGAAGAGGAAGAGAGAGAAGGAAGAGGAAGAGAGAGAAUAGAGGAAGAUGAGAGGAGAUAAUAGAGAGAGUUAUCUUUGUACUCCUAUUAUUUCAGAUUAUAAUGAAAGCAUCACAGCUGCCCCGAGGACGUACUCCAGUCACACUGACUGUAGAGGAACCUCGUAAAUUUUGUGUCUUGUUUCAUUUAUUCCACUGCACCCACCGUCGAUUUUACAACACGUUAACAGCACGAGAAGCUCUCAUGUCGGUGGAAAGCACUACUUACCUCUCACCUCUAUCGGCUGGAAUCUCACAGAUAAGAAAAUCUUUUCAUUUCAUUCUUAUAUCUCUAAAUGACUAAUUUUCUUAAAGUAAAUAUACAUGUGGUUAUAUAAGUAUUGUUAUUAUUAUUGGCAGAAAAUCCGACAAUCAUAUGAGCUUUGAAAACUUCAACUUCCAGUGCUCAUACAGAAACCAUUCCUUCAUAAACGUUGUUCCUUAUCCUCUCUCCCAUAACAUACCAAAAUUCCAGAACCAUCCAACGGUUAAAUCAUUCCAGAUCUUAGAAAUAAUACUACAGACUCAAAAUUCGCAGAAAAUUUGGCAGCCAUGUAAAUAGCCACUGAACUCCAACUUCCUGACAUCCGAUUGAAAUACUUUCUUCUUGAAAGUUGUUUGUCCGCCUAGUACCUAGAACAUAUCCAAAUUUCAGAAAUUGUCAACGGUGCGAUCGUCGUAGAUGACUGAAACUUCAACUCAGCUUCCAUUUCCGCAGAAAACUGGACAGCCAUCUUAUGAGUACCAAACCUUCAUUUUCAGAAGCUCAGCUCGAAACUGUUUCUUCAUGAAAGUUGUUUGGUAUCUUCUUAUCCAUAUCAUACUAAAUUUUGAGUUAAAUCUAACGGUUUGAUCUUCUUAUAAGUGGCAGACAAAGAAAAGUGAUUAUUUUGGGUAGUUGAAAAGAAAGCUCGUCCAACUGCAAGAAUCCGAAAGUCGGAUUCAAAGUGAUCACCAGAGGUUCGUUGCUAGAUUCCGAAAGUAACUGAUGCCUUCCCCUUCUGGUGUUUUGCUAAGUACUGGGGUGCCACAUGAUCAAUCUCCAGUGCCUCCCCCUUCUGGGGUACUUCCGAGUACUGAGGCUUCACAUGAGCAACAUUUGUGAAGGCUCCAUCCUGUUUGUUUGUUUUAACUCAUGUGUAUGUAUAUAUCUGUAAUUUCUUGGAGAUAUUAAUAAACAAGCUUUAUUUACUUUAAAGCAAUUUAUUUACCAUGGACGGUUUUACCACCUAUUGCUUUAAGUUUUGAUGGUGCUGAAUUAAAGCCCUUGUCACAAGCUUUAUUUACUUAAAUGCAAUUUAUUCAUUAUGGCUGGAAUUACCGUCUAUUGCUUUAAUUUAUUUAUUGUACUUAUCUUUUGUUACAAUGAGUAUAACAAGAACCCAGAGUUCCUUGAUUAGAUCAGAACCUGCAGUUUCUUGAUCCUCAUCACAUAAAAUGAUAGGACCCGAAGUUCCAUCAUACAAAAAGAUCAGGCAUGAAGUUCUUUGAUCCUGAAGAUCAGGACAUGAAAUUCCUUGAUGAGUACCGUAAGUUUGAAGUGCCACAGUGCCUCAACUUAAUUAUAAUAAAGGUCAUAAAAGUCUCAGUCCAUAGAUUAUUUAAUAAGGACCAGAAGUUCCUUAUGUCCAUACUUAAAAUGGUUUAGCAGAAGCAUUUAUUAAGCGGAUGAAAUUGAUUACCCGCGCUCUGCUCAUGAAAACGAAAUUACCAGUUUUCUACAUGGGGACAUGUCAUUUUACAUGACGCAUUAUUAAGUUCGGAUGAGACCAGUUUCCAACCAUCAAUACUACUCAGUACAACUUGUGUUUGGGCACAAGCCAAACAUUAUACAGUUAUGAGUUUUUGGUUGUGUUAUCAAUGUGCCUAUUGCAUUGCCACAACAUACUAAAAUAAGGCAUCAACGCAAAACUGGAAAUUUAUGUUGGAUUGAUUCAUCAUCUAUCAUUCAAUAUUUAGAACCCUUGACUGGGGAUAUAUUUACCGCUUGGUUUGCGGACUGUCAUUUUGAUAAGACAAUUUUCCUGACAUUAGGGGGAGAAAAUAAUAUCGUUCCAGAAGAACGAUGAGAAAAUAUCAUUCCAAAAGAAUGAUGAGAAAAGACCGUUCCAGAAGAACGAAGAGAAUUUGUCUUAUUUUGAUUCACGAAGCAAUCAAUAAGAAAUGAAAUAUGAAUAAUUGAAUGAUGCAACGAAAGUGAUGAAAUCAUAUAUACUUACUGCAAAUGUGCCUACAAGAAUUGAUGUCUCUGUUGGAUAAAAUAAUGAGACAGUAAAUGAUUUAUAUGUUGCACGCCUGAAGCGUGGCAGAUUUUUAAACUCAAAAGGUUCAGUUAUUCGAAAGAAGAAUAAUAUGGCACUACUGAACUAUUGCAUUCCCGAAGCAUAACUGUUGCAUGCCAGAAGCAUGACAGUCGCCGCGUGGAUACACGUCCCAGAUAGGACAAUCCACAGACAUGGGAAUAUUGAUGUCUCAUGCAUGAAGCAUGAUUGAUGUAUAGGUUCUAAAUGACUCAACUCUUGGAAGUGGAGAUUAAAAUCCAAGCUCUAUAACGCUCAAGAAGAGGUUAUGAUCCGCAUUCUCUAAACUAUGACUAUCCUGGAAGAGAUAGUGUAAUGCCCUUGAAGAGGCAAUGGAUAUCCAAAGAAAUGAAAAGCUUUUAUGCAUGUGCAUGCACAUGAGAAUAUGGGAUCACAGAUUGAUGAUAACCAAUGGUAAUUUUGGUUUUUACAAGUAGCUACUAAAUUCAUCAAUGAGCUGUGUUAAUAUUGAGUCACGUUCUUUUGUUCGUCGACAAAAGGAAAAUUAUUGGCCAAAAUGGAGAAAGGCAAUUCCAUUACAAUUUUGUAAGAACGUGGAAAAAUGGAUCUAUAUAUUUGAAUGUAAUACAAAUAGCCAAAAGAUGUUGAACCAAGGAGAUUAUAUAUAUGGGCAUUUGUAAUACAGUGUAAUACACUUACAUGAUAUGACACAAGGUUGUAAAUGAGUUCAUAUAAAUGGAGAAUUAUAUAUGAAGGGUUGUGAGUCACCCACAUCAUAUCUCCAUAAGUAAAUCCCUCAAAUAUACAUGGGAGCAAAUUGCUCUGUAUAAAUUCCAAAGGAAAAUGUGUCAUGAAGUGUAGAAAAUCCCUGAAGGAUUCAAAUUGCUUGAAGUAAGCCCCCGAAGGGUAAAACAUAAAUUAUGAACUCAAUAUCAAUGGAUGAUAUAAAUUGCCUUAGUGAGUACUAUCAUUAUGAUAUUGUUGCAAUAUACUAAAAUCUCUUGCAAGAGUCAAUGACAUUAAAUUAGAACUCUUGAAGAGUUGAUGAUAUUAAAUUGGGACUCCUGAAGAGUCUAGAAAAAAUUAUAAAGUGUUGAAGGAAUUAUUGUCUCGAGCUGCAGAUCGAACAAUCUACCAACACGAAUCUUAUCCAUGAUAUUUAUGAUAUUAAAAGAACCAUAUGGAUUGAAGAUUAUGAGUUGAAUACUCAUAUGAUGAAGACACUAAGAAUAAUCAUUUAUCUUCGUGAGGGUAAAGAUUAAAUAAUACUUGGUCCAGAAGUACCACAUCUUAGUGAAGUAUAUGCUUUAUUGUAUUUGGCACAAUACAUUGAAUGAAAUAAAGCUUAUUUAUUAAUAUCUCCAAGAAAUUACAGAUAUAUACAUACACAUGAGUUAAAACAAACAAACAGGAUGGAGCCUUCACAAAGGUUGCUCAUGUGAAGCCUCAGUACUCGGAAGUACCCCAGAAGGGGGAGGCACUGGAGAUUGAUCAUGUGGCACCCCAGUACUUAGCAAAACACCAGAAGGGGAAGGCAUCAGUUACUUUCGGAAUCUAGCAACGAACCUCUGGUGAUCACUUUGAAUCCGACUUUCGGAUUCUUGCAGUUGGACGAGCUUUCUUUUCAUGCUCGUAGAGUAACUAUUUGCAAGCACGUGUAACACCCUAUUCUCGUGCUUGAGCCCUUUGAUCUCUUGUUUAAGACUUGCCACCUCUGCCAUCAAUGAUUCAACUUGGCGAGUUUGAGCAAGUAGGCGUUGGCCCAUAUUGGACACAGAGCCAACACACUGAACACUGAGAGCCAAUGAGUCUUGAACAGCCGACUCUUCAGACCGUUCUGAAAGGAUCUUGUUAUCCCUUGGAGUGAGAAGAUUCCUAGCUACCACAGUAGCGGUUAUGUUAUUCUUCAUCACAGAGUCACCAACCGUAAGAGGACCAUUAGAAGAUAAGAAGGACGGGCGCCAUAUAUUAUCAUGACGCUGCUCGUCUGUAUCACUCCUAAGACUCAAAUCUAAGCAAAUGUUAGAUGGGCAAGUCAUUUUUCAGAAAUGAUGAAGGAAAAACAGAGGUCAAAUAAAAUUUCAGAAGUGCAAGAAGGUGGAAAUUUCUCAGGCAGCAAUUUUCUGAGCAUACCCUUGAACACAAUUGAUGUCUCUAUAAAAGAAGAGGCAGCAGAGCCACUUGUUCAAAGAUCGAAGAGGCACCGCUCUCCGAAUUUCAAAAGCCAGAUUUUCCUGAAUAAAGUUCGUUGGCAUUUUUCAGACGUAAUCCCCAACUUUUUCAGAUGUCGCGUGCAAUUUUGUCAAAGAUCUCUGACAAAGUUGAAAACGCGUAAAUCUUACUGUUCUAUUUACACCACAGUUGCUGACAAGAGUAAAAAGCACAGCACCACCACUUGCUAUUGAGAAAUCUCUAUAUAUGUCGACCUCUGUUCUCCAUAACAAGGCAGACCCGCAACACUGCAAGAAUACCUAACUCUUCCUCAUCUCCGAGAAUGCAUCUUCAACAUAGCAUCUCGAAAUACUCAGUUUUCUUCCUCUCCGAGAAUACCUCUUCAAACAUGUCACACCAGAGCAAGAUUAUCACAUAUCUUCAGGGACCAGAGCAAGAUUAUCUCAUAUCAUGCAAUCUCCCUGUCCUUUCCUUUGUCCAUGUUCUUGCCUGCGAAGACAAGGAUAAAGAAAGCAAUAUGUCGAAACCUCCACUCAAACUCCCGGUAAGGAACCGACUGCCUGGAACCUUUCCUGAUUGCUUACCUAAUGUUGCUCUCGAGUAGUCAUCUUCAACGGUUGGAGCUGGGUCUCCAGUCACCAAGAAGUGAUGAACCAUCCAAAUGCAAGGGUUGCACUCCACUCCGGCAUUAGAGGGCAAAUACUGCCGGAGAAGAUGCCACACAUGCAUGGGGGAAAAGCAGGGAAAAUACUACUUAAGCAAGGGGAGCAAGUAAGGAAAGUAAAAAUGAUACAUUGAAGCAUGUGGAGACAAGCGCAACAAACGCGUGCUGAUUCAUCCCUGACAAAACUGAAGAUCACUUGCCACAUGAAGCUCCUCAUGGUCCAAUUUCAUUCAAGAUCAAGCAUCGAAGGUCCUUGAAGAAAUCACAAGUCCGAUUCAAUAUCAAGUGUUCACUACUCUUGAAUCAAAUUUCGCUCCAGAUAAAAGGAGUAAAUUCAGACAUUUGGAUGCUAGUCUAGCAGAAAGUCCUACAACCCAGUUCAAGAAAAAGCCUGUGGAAAGUUAACAACAAGUAAAGCAACUCUUUCAGCAACUCUUCUUACUAAGAGACUAAAUCAGAACGAUCAACGAUCAACCUAAAUGAUUUGAAAUCAGGGGGAGAUACUCAUCAGGGGGAGCAUCCAAGACAGAUCAAGGUUUUAACGAGUCAAUCGAAGACUUGUGGCCAUCCAAGGGGGAGUGUUGUAAAUAGUGUGUGGAUGGUCCACAUGAAUAGUUUGUUACUAUUUAUGCACAGUAUUUUCACUAUUCAUUUGUGGAAAAUUUGUAAAGUGAAUAGUGCUUUCUUUUGUUUAUAUAAAGGAAGAAGAGGAAUGAAGUGAGGGAAGUUCACGGGAAAGAAAGAGAGGAAGGAAGGAAGAGGAAGAGAGAGAAGGAAGAGGAAGAGAGAGAAUAGAAGAAGAUGAGAGGAGAUAAUAGAGAGAGUUAUCUUUGUACUCCUAUUAUUUCAGAUUAUAAUGAAAGCAUCACAGCUGCCCCGAGGACGUACUCCAGUCACACUGACUGUAGAGGAACCUCGUAAAUUUUGUGUCUUGUUUCAUUUAUUCCACUGCACCCACCGUCGAUUUUACAACAAUAAUAUAGAUAUUGAAUGGAUG